This is a non-coding RNA of Podarcis lilfordi (Lilford's wall lizard), 77 nucleotides long. The record is from the annotation of a GenBank genome assembly. Lineage: Eukaryota; Metazoa; Chordata; Lepidosauria; Squamata; Lacertidae.
UUCCACAUAGCUCAGUUGAUAGAACAUGAGACUCUUAAUCUCAGGGUUGUGGAUUCGAGCCCCACGAUGGGUGAAAG